UUUCAGCAACGGAUCUCUUGGCUCUCGCAUCGAUGAAGAACGCAGCGAAAUGCGAUAAGUAAUGUGAAUUGCAGAAUUCAGUGAAUCAUCGAAUCUUUGAACGCACCUUGCGCUCCUUGGUAUUCCGAGGAGCAUGCCUGUUUGAGUGUCAUGAAAUC
Molecule: ribosomal RNA, 158 nt
Filed under: Ganoderma enigmaticum
Lineage: Eukaryota; Fungi; Basidiomycota; Agaricomycetes; Polyporales; Polyporaceae
Description: 5.8S ribosomal RNA
Rfam family: 5.8S ribosomal RNA
About the family: 5.8S ribosomal RNA (5.8S rRNA) is a component of the large subunit of the eukaryotic ribosome. It is transcribed by RNA polymerase I as part of the 45S precursor that also contains 18S and 28S rRNA.
Source: RNAcentral